Molecule: non-coding RNA, 3633 nt
Organism: Poecilia reticulata (guppy)
Lineage: Eukaryota; Metazoa; Chordata; Actinopteri; Cyprinodontiformes; Poeciliidae
Source: RefSeq, a predicted model, not a curated record
CUUGGAGCCGGUCUCCAGGGCAGAUCUUCCGGGCGACUUGCCCCGUAAGAAAUUAGAAAAUGCUACAAUAAAACCCUAAAAAACCCCAAGAAAAUUAUGUGGGAAGUUUUUUCCUUUUUUUAAUGAACGGCCAAGAGCUGAACACCGUAACCACACACGUCCCUUUAACUGGAAGUCAGCGAAGUAGCGCAGAUCAGGGGAGGAAGAUGGAAAGCCAUCUUUCAUAUUAAAAAUGCCACUGCUAUUACAACUAAAGGAAUCAGAUGGCAGUAGAGUGAGCAUCAGACGGAUUGUGCAGCAGAUCCAUCUUCAGUGCAGAUUUUACAAUAGGAAGAUGAGACGAGCCCCCCACCCCUGCACGGAUUGACUCCCCAGGAAGAGAGAAACGAGUGUGACGGAUCCAUACUGAAUAAAAUGUACAACAGAGUGCGUCAGAAGCCCUGCCAGGCUCCAGCGACUCAAAACUACAGGAACAAAAAGGCAGUUUUGGCACAUAAAAAGCCACCAGUUAUGUUUUCUGACAUAAGCUGCCUUAUGGAGGCAGCUGGUAGGGUUUUUUUUUUUUUUUUUUUGCCUGACUUGCAGAAGUCACAAUUCCAAAAAACAAACAAAUAGACACUUAACAGUGCAUUGGAGAACUGGAACUGCUUAAGGCAGAAGUAAUAAAUAGCAUUUUAGCAACGUGCUGUCUCAGUUUUUUCAAGCAUGUUUGCCAAAUUCUUGUUCUCCAGGUUACACCGUUCUGCUAAUUGUGUUGUGUUGUUUUUUAUUUUUUUAUGCCUGUUUUAUGUCUGGAUGCUGUUGUAACUCCGUCCCACAUUCUCAUCUUGACAAAAUAAUGCAAUUUUUCCACUGCGUGGCAUUUAUUACUGUAAGACAUUAGACACAGACAUCUAAGUGCAGAUGACAUCCACCAAAUUAACAAGAGUAUAAAACCUUUUGUUGCUGAUAAAAAAUCAGCCUCUGUACAAUUUGACUCUCAAGAGAACGCUAAUGACUUGUGACUUGAAAAAACUGGGUUGAUUUUUCUUUUUUUUUUCCUUCCUCCCUCUCCCUCCGUGAGAUGAAACCUUCUGUGCUAAUGAUGUUAGCCAGUUUGAGCACAAUGCUGAUGUGGGAGUCUGUCAUGAGGAUGCACACAACAGCCCUUGCCCCUGGCCUCCUAGUCAAGAGGGAUCUAAACAUUCAGAAGUGACAGUCUGGGCUGUCUCAUGUCAAACCAGGGACCCUCGCUAACACCGGGGGGCUGGCGUGGCUGUGAAUCGAGGUGGAAUGCUACACCGCACUCUUUUGUUUCUGCUGGUGUCACUCACGAACCAGAAAGAAGACACACUCCUCGCAUCAAUCAGGGUCCGGUGUACCUCCCUGCAAUCACAGAUUCCCACAUACAGAGUCCUGCACCAUUAUUGCCAUCCGUUGUAAGGAUGUGUGCAGAGGCCUAAAUUGACUUUUUAUUGCAGUUUUAUAGUAUCAUGUUGCACAAUUUGUGCAGAUCGCGAACACUGAGCCUCGAAGAAAUACACUGUGCGUACAUAUUUUUUUAUUCCCUCCCUUUUGUAACAGCAUUAAAGAGUGCCUUUGAGCAGGUUGCUUGUAGUAGCAUGGAGCAAAGUUAAGUGAGAUUCAGUUGAAGUCCAGAGUAAUACUGCUUGUCUAACCACAAAACAACAACAUAACUGAGCACAGUAAGCUUAAUUGGCUUUUGUUGUAUGUUAAUGAAACUAAUCAUAAAGGCCAACUGGCUCUAACAUGAGGCCUUGACACCCCCUCUGCUCUCUCCCCACUCCUUGUGGCUCCGAUAAACUUUUAGAAAAGAUGGAGUUCCUCUCCUAGACAGUCUGAGGAAAAUUAAACCACCAAAAUUGUUUUCAUUGGUUAGCGGGGAUAAUCUCAGGGGACUUUAAGGCUUUUAAUUGAACUAGUGAGAAGAAAUUUGUAUGACUGUUUGCCAACAACAUUGGUGUGUCUGCUUUCCACUUCUGCCCCCUCUCAAAGAAAGACGCAGUAACUCAGGUAUAGUUAUUAUAUAAAGUAAGGGUGAGCUCAGUAACUAUAUGUGUGUUCUUCCUUUCUUUCUAAAGGUGUAACUCGAUAACAAAAUGGUACCGUAUUUCUGUUUAUUCUGUUUUAUUGAUAGGUAUUACAGUGCACCCCUGAUAUAAAAUUGACAGAUUUAAGUGUCUAUAUCUGAGACUUUUAUUUUAAAGUAAAAAAAAGAAGCAGUUCUAAAGUUGUUGUAUGUUCAUAUAACUGGUAAGACUCAUCUUCAAGUUACUAAAAAAGUAGGGAAUUCCCUUUUAGUAGGUAUUUACAUUGAACUAUUUUGUGUGACAGCAAUGUGCUCAAUUUGGAAAAAAAGUAAAAUAAAAAACAAAAACAGACAAGAUAAUUUCCAACGUAAAAACACUGUCAAUGUCAAAUCUUUAGCAGCUAACACUGCUAAGGUUAGCAUUGGCUUCAAGCUAAACUUAAAGUUUGUUUUUCAGUUUUUAACCUCUAAAUAGUUUUGCCCAAAACACUUACCAGUUAGACGUUGGUUCUGUGAAAUCCUCAUGAGUUAAGAAGUUAAGGAAUCUGGGUUACACCUUAGUCAACACUCAACAGACUUUAUUUAGCAUUGUUUAAGAGUGUUUCACUCUUUUUCUAUUUGUAAAACCUUAGAGGCACUUUUAAUUGUAAUUCAUUUCAUUACAAGCAAACAAGCCACAACAACAAAGUAGUUAAAAGUUAGUUAAAAAUGGGAAGAGGAGCAAAAAAAAAAAAAAAAAAAUCAAAUCAAGAAAUACAGAAUUGUAACUGAGCUUUUUUUCUCCUAAGUCUUGAAUAAUAAAGUUUAGAAUAAAUAUGACUGACAAGAGGGUAGUGGUUUAUAAACAUGCAGCGACUGGCUAAUAGGUAACAUGAAGCGAAAGUUACCUAAAAGGAACUUUAGCUUCAUUAAACUAAACUAAAAGGAUUGUCAAACUGUUUUUUAAACCACACUGCAUUUAAUAAUCUACUUCAGAAUCAAUAUGAAUCAAAAAUGUACUUGUACACUGAAGAGACAGUUAAAGAUGUUUCUGCCUCUGUGUCAUCUUUUACUGCCAUUCCCAUUUUGAGUACCUUUUUUAUGUUUGCAAAUAACAAACAUGUAGCAUUUCCCAGCAUUGUUUGAUAUUAGGCCACAUUAGUAAUAGAAAAGCAUAAAAACCUUCCAUACACAGACUGCUCAAACCUGGACACUUUUUACAAAUUCUUUGAAAUGCAGCAUAUAAUCUGUAAAGUCUUUUUGUGAAAUCAGAAGGAGUGCGUUCUUAUUUUUCCCAAAUAUGUAUAUUGUCAAAAUGUUGUCCUUUCUCUUAUUUUUGAAUACAGUAUUGUGUAUUGGCUCGUGAGGUGAAGCUAUCAUCCUAUGUCUAAUUUGUUUUCCAUUCGUAGAUCUUAAUCACAAUGGAAAAUAAAUGUUGGUAAUUCAAAGUCAAACUCUGCCUUUUUAGUAUUUUGGUUUUCAGGAUUUGUUCAAAGAGGUCCAAUGAUUCUGUAACACAGCAGUUUAUUCAGUCAGGCAUAAAAGUAAAUACAGCUCGCAGUCUGCCGUAGAAAAGAUAAUUUGUCUCACUGAGAAAAACACCAACUCAUAAACUCAGAUUAGUA